RNAcentral lists this ribosomal RNA (229 nucleotides) under Staphylococcus pseudintermedius. Its description in RNAcentral is "partial 23S ribosomal RNA". It matches the Rfam family "Bacterial large subunit ribosomal RNA", at positions 2694 to 2925 of the family's 2925-position model. Lineage: Bacteria; Bacillati; Bacillota; Bacilli; Caryophanales; Staphylococcaceae. The record is from RNAcentral.
GGGAUGGACAUACCUCUGGUGUACCAGUUGUCGUGCCAACGGCAUAGCUGGGUAGCUAUGUAUGGACGGGAUAAGUGCUGAAAGCAUCUAAGCAUGAAGCCCCCCUCGAGAUGAGAUUUCCCAACUUCGGUUAUAAGAUCCCUCAAAGAUGAUGAGGUGAAUAGGUUCGAGGUGGAAGCGUAGCGAUACGUGGAGCUGACGAAUACUAAUCGAUCGAAGACUUAAUCAA